RNAcentral lists this ribosomal RNA (337 nucleotides) under uncultured bacterium. RNAcentral describes it as "bacterial SSU rRNA". It matches the Rfam family "Bacterial small subunit ribosomal RNA", at positions 157 to 507 of the family's 1533-position model. The record is from RNAcentral.
CGACUGCUAAUACCGCAUAACGUGCCGAGAGGGCAUCCUCUUGGUACCAAAGUCUUUAUGUGCUGAAAGAUGGUCUCGCGUCUGAUUAGCUAGAUGGCGGGGUAACGGCCCACCAUGGCGACGAUCAGUAGCCGGUCUGAGAGGAUGAACGGCCACAUUGGGACUGAGAUACGGCCCAGACUCCUACGGGAGGCAGCAGGUGGGGAAUAUUGGGCAAUGGGGGAAACCCUGACCCAGCAACGCCGCGUGAAGGAAGAAGGCCUUCGGGUUGUAAACUUCUUUUAGCAGGGACGAAGAACGUGACGGUACCUGCAGAAAAGCAACGGCUAACUACGUG